RNAcentral lists this ribosomal RNA (253 nucleotides) under uncultured bacterium. RNAcentral's name for it is "partial 16S ribosomal RNA". It matches the Rfam family "Bacterial small subunit ribosomal RNA", at positions 524 to 776 of the family's 1533-position model. The record is from RNAcentral.
UACAGAGGUCUCAAGCGUUGUUCGGAUUCAUUGGGCGUAAAGGGUGCGUAGGCGGCGCGGUAAGUCGGAUGUGAAAUCUCGGAGCUUAACUUCGAAACUGCAUUCGAUACUGCCGUGCUUGAGGACUGGAGAGGAGACUGGAAUUUACGGUGUAGCGGUGAAAUGCGUAGAUAUCGUAAGGAAGACCAGUGGCGAAGGCGGCAUCCUGGACCGGUAUUGACGCUGAGGCGCGAAAGCCAGGGGAGCAAACGGG